CGAAAUGCGAAAGUUAAUGCGAAUUGCAGAAUUCAGUGAAUCAUCGAGUCUUUGAACGCACAUUGCGCCCGCCGGUAUUCCGGCGGGCAUGCCUGUCCGAGCGUCUUUUCACAAUGAAAUCGAGCCCGUGCGUACCCGGAGGGGGUUCACCCCGUGGGACGUCAAGGGCGUCGGUGUUGGACCGUCCGGCCGUCUCGGUCGGACGUCUCCUGAACGCAUCCACCGGUGGUCGUGACCGACCGAGGCCGGAGUCGCCGGACGGCGUGACUCGGGUCAAAGUCGAAGCGCCUGGUGCAGUUGAUCGGGCGCCCCUGGGCCCGAAAGUCCACCGUUCGACCUCGGAUCAAGGUAGGGUUACCCGCUGAACUUAAGC
This 373-nucleotide unclassified non-coding RNA is filed under the name plant metagenome. RNAcentral describes it as "partial contains 5.8S ribosomal RNA, internal transcribed spacer 2, and large subunit ribosomal RNA". The stretch from base 1 to 106 matches the Rfam family "5.8S ribosomal RNA", at positions 49 to 154 of the family's 154-position model. The record is from RNAcentral.